This 87-nucleotide transfer RNA is filed under the name Planctomycetia bacterium. RNAcentral's name for it is "tRNA-Ser". It matches the Rfam family "tRNA". From Rfam's summary of the family: Transfer RNA (tRNA) molecules are approximately 80 nucleotides in length. Lineage: Bacteria; Pseudomonadati; Planctomycetota; Planctomycetia. The record is from RNAcentral.
GGAGGCGUGCCGGAGCGGUUGAUCGGGCCGGUCUUGAAAACCGGUGACGGGGCGACUCGUCCGGGGGUUCGAAUCCCUCCGCCUCCG